This 253-nucleotide ribosomal RNA is filed under the name uncultured prokaryote. RNAcentral's name for it is "partial 16S ribosomal RNA". It matches the Rfam family "Bacterial small subunit ribosomal RNA", at positions 524 to 776 of the family's 1533-position model. The record is from RNAcentral.
UACGAAGGGGGCUAGCGUUGCUCGGAAUUACUGGGCGUAAAGGGCGCGUAGGCGGAUGUCUAAGUCAGAGGUAAAAGCCCAGGGCUUAACCUUGGAACUGCCUUUGAUACUGGGCAUCUUGAGUUCGGGAGAGGUGAGUGGAACUCCGAGCGUAGAGGUGAAAUUCGUAGAUAUUCGGAAGAACACCAGUGGCGAAGGCGACUCACUGGCCCGAUACUGACGCUGAGGCGCGAAAGCGUGGGGAGCAAACAGG